GUUGGGUAGGGGAGCGUUCUGUAAGCCUGUGAAGGUGGCCUGUGAGGGUUGCUGGAGGUAUCAGAAGUGCGAAUGCUGACAUAAGUAACGAUAAAGCGGGUGAAAAGCCCGCUCGCCGGAAGACCAAGGGUUCCUGUCCAACGUUAAUCGGGGCAGGGUGAGUCGACCCCUAAGGCGAGGCCGAAAGGCGUAGUCGAUGGGAAACGGGUUAAUAUUCCCGUACUUGGUGUUACUGCGAAGGGGGGACGGAGAAGGCUAUGUUGGCCGGGCGACGGUUGUCCCGGUUUAAGCGUGUAGGUGUGUGUUCCAGGUAAAUCCGGUUCACUUUAACACUGAGGCGUGAUGACGAGGCACUACGGUGCUGAAGCAACAAAUGCCCUGCUUCCAGGAAAAGCCUCUAAGCAUCAGGUAACAUCAAAUCGUACCCCAAACCGACACAGGUGGUCAGGUAGAGAAUACCAAGGCGCUUGAGAGAACUCGGGUGAAGGAACUAGGCAAAAUGGUGCCGUAACUUCGGGAGAAGGCACGCUGACACGUAGGUGAAGUGAUUUACUCAUGGAGCUGAAGUCAGUCGAAGAUACCAGCUGGCUGCAACUGUUUAUUAAAAACACAGCACUGUGCAAACACGAAAGUGGACGUAUACGGUGUGACGCCUGCCCGGUGCCGGAAGGUUAAUUGAUGGGGUCAGCGCAAGCGAAGCUCCUGAUCGAAGCCCCGGUAAACGGCGGCCGUAACUAUAACGGUCCUAAGGUAGCGAAAUUCCUUGUCGGGUAAGUUCCGACCUGCACGAAUGGCGUAAUGAUGGCCAGGCUGUCUCCACCCGAGACUCAGUGAAAUUGAACUCGCUGUGAAGAUGCAGUGUACCCGCGGCAAGACGGAAAGACCCCGUGAACCUUUACUAUAGCUUGACACUGAACAUUGAGCCUUGAUGUGUAGGAUAGGUGGGAGGCUUUGAAGUGUGGACGCCAGUCUGCAUGGAGCCGACCUUGAAAUACCACCCUUUAAUGUUUGAUGUUCUAACGUGGACCCGUAAUCCGGGUUGCGGACAGUGUCUGGUGGGUAGUUUGACUGGGGCGGUCUCCUCCUAAAGAGUAACGGAGGAGCACGAAGGUUGGCUAAUCCUGGUCGGACAUCAGGAGGUUAGUGCAAUGGCAUAAGCCAGCUUGACUGCGAGCGUGACGGCGCGAGCAGGUGCGAAAGCAGGUCAUAGUGAUCCGGUGGUUCUGAAUGGAAGGGCCAUCGCUCAACGGAUAAAAGGUACUCCGGGGAUAACAGGCUGAUACCGCCCAAGAGUUCAUAUCGACGGCGGUGUUUGGCACCUCGAUGUCGGCUCAUCACAUCCUGGGGCUGAAGUAGGUCCCAAGGGUAUGGCUGUUCGCCAUUUAAAGUGGUACGCGAGCUGGGUUUAGAACGUCGUGAGACAGUUCGGUCCCUAUCUGCCGUGGGCGCUGGAGAACUGAGGGGGGCUGCUCCUAGUACGAGAGGACCGGAGUGGACGCAUCACUGGUGUUCGGGUUGUCAUGCCAAUGGCACUGCCCGGUAGCUAAAUGCGGAAGAGAUAAGUGCUGAAAGCAUCUAAGCACGAAACUUGCCCCGAGAUGAGUUCUCCCUGAGACUUAGAGUCUCCUGAAGGAACGUUGAAGACGACGACGUUGAUAGGCCGGGUGUGUAAGCGCAGCGAUGCGUUGAGCUAACCGGUACUAAUGAACCGUGAGGCU
Molecule: ribosomal RNA, 1718 nt
Filed under: Salmonella enterica subsp. enterica serovar Litchfield
Lineage: Bacteria; Pseudomonadati; Pseudomonadota; Gammaproteobacteria; Enterobacterales; Enterobacteriaceae
Description: bacterial LSU rRNA
Rfam family: Bacterial large subunit ribosomal RNA
Source: RNAcentral